GACGAACGCUGGCGGCGUGCUUAACACAUGCAAGUCGAACGGUGAAGCGCCUUCCUUUUUGGUGGGUGUGGAUGAGUGGCGAACGGGUGAGUAACACGUGAGUAACCUGCCCCCUUCUUCUGGAUAACCGCAUGAAAGUGUGGCUAAUACGGGAUAUUCUGGGUCUGUCGCAUGAUGGGUCUGGGAAAGAUAUUGUUUCGGUGGGGGAUGGGCUCGCGGCCUAUCAGCUUGUUGGUGGGGUGAUGGCCUACCAAGGCGGUGACGGGUAGCCGGCCUGAGAGGGUGGACGGUCACACUGGGGCUGAGACACGGCCCAGACUCCUACGGGAGGCAGCGGUGGGGAAUAUUGCACAAUGGGCGCAAGCCUGAUGCAGCGACGCCGCGUGAGGGAUGGAGGCCUUCGGGUUGUGAACCUCUUUCGCCAGUGAAGCAGGCCUGCCUCGUUUGUGGGUGGGUUGACGGUAGCUGGAUAAGAAGCGCCGGCUAACUACGUG
This 494-nucleotide ribosomal RNA is filed under the name uncultured bacterium. RNAcentral describes it as "partial 16S ribosomal RNA". It matches the Rfam family "Bacterial small subunit ribosomal RNA", at positions 28 to 507 of the family's 1533-position model. The record is from RNAcentral.